GCGAUGGCGGGUUGCGAACAGUGGGGGUCGUCGCCGGCGUCCAUAUCCCAUUCCCAGAUCAAGAGGCUAUUCUCGCGUGUCAUGGGAGAGGUCAUGGCAGCGGCAGUGCAACUAUCCCCGUCGGCCGUUCAUCGGGAGGACAAGCAACGGGAUUUCUGGAUGACAUCAACCGAAGCGGAUUUGCCACCGGGGUGGCUCGUCAGGGUGGCAUAAGCAGAGGCCCGGAGGUUCCACUGCCGAUUAAAGAACCAACUAAAGGUAACAAUGACGUGCUGCCUAACGAAAACAGUGAACCUCUGCGGAAGUCUACAAGGAAAAGGAGGAAGAGGAAGCUUGAUUCGUUUUAACGAAGGAGACUUGCAAGUCUAGAAGGAACUGAAUGACAAUUUGGUUUGUUGCUCAAUGCUAUGUACUGUGUAAUUGACCGAAUCGAUGGUCUUUUGUUAUGGGACUGUAAUAUAUACUGGCUGCACUUCUUUUGUUGUUGGACUGCUAUGUGUCUUCCUGUGUCUAAUCUUAAGUUUAGUCUCUAAAGUCUGAAGCUAUAUUAUUAGACUGCAAUCUCGUGGGCUUGUGGCUGAUGGUUUAUGAGAAUUGUAUAUUUUUGUUGGUCGUUCUA
Long non-coding RNA from Triticum aestivum (bread wheat), 619 nucleotides. RefSeq lists it as uncharacterized. The record is from RefSeq and is a predicted model, not a curated record. NCBI's taxonomy places the organism in Eukaryota, Viridiplantae, Streptophyta, Magnoliopsida, Poales, Poaceae. The transcript is spliced from 3 exons.